GGACGCCGGACGCCCGCCUCCCGCUCGGGGCGAGAGGAGGAGGAGGAAGGGCGACCACGGCACUCGCCCGCCCGCCCGCCUCCAGCGCCGCCUGACCGGGCGUGUCUUCAGCUCCCGCGCCUGGCCCCAAGCCUCAGGCCUGGGACCAUUCCAUCUUCCUGGUCUACCUUCGUUCGGAUGUUACCUACAUACCCUUGGACAAGAGAGGUUAAAUGAGACAGAUGGACGGAAGCCUCUCUUCUUUUCCUGCCCCAGUGGACCCAGGACAGAUGUUUGAACUUCACACGGGCCUUGAAGAAGUACCUCUUGAGGUGGAGCACUGCACACACACCUUCAUCUUUGCUACCCCCUCCACUGCCAUUAGAACAAGUGAUCAUCAAACAUACCCCUAAAGGCAAAGAACAGCAGGUACACACGACGGUCUUGGCACUGAGGAGUCGAGCUUCUCGUGGAUGAUGUUCUGCACCAUGGUGUGAAUUGGCGAGCCGUACCGAUGUCCAACUGCCCUUGGACAGUCCCCUUUACAG
Zalophus californianus (California sea lion) is the source of this 527-nucleotide long non-coding RNA. RefSeq lists it as uncharacterized. The transcript is spliced from 4 exons. The record is from RefSeq and is a predicted model, not a curated record. Lineage: Eukaryota; Metazoa; Chordata; Mammalia; Carnivora; Otariidae.